Molecule: ribosomal RNA, 392 nt
Filed under: uncultured bacterium
Lineage: Bacteria
Description: partial 16S ribosomal RNA
Rfam family: Bacterial small subunit ribosomal RNA
Source: RNAcentral
AUACGGAGGAUCCGAGCGUUAUCCGGAUUUAUUGGGUUUAAAGGGUGCGCAGGCGGCCAUUUAAGUCAGCGGUUAAAUCGUGGGGCUCAACCCCAUUCUGCCGUUGAUACUGGGUGGCUUGAUUGCGGUCGAGGUUGGCGGAAUUCGUUGUGUAGCGGUGAAAUGCAUAGAUAUGACGAAGAACACCGAUUGCGUAGGCAGCUGACCAGAUCGCAAAUGACGCUCAUGCACGAAAGUGCGGGGAUCGAACAGGAUUAGAUACCCUGGUAGUCCGCACAGUAAACGAUGAAUACUUGUUUUCGGCGAUAUAAUGUCGGAGGCAAAGCGAAAGCGAUAAGUAUUCCACCUGGGGAGUACGCCGGCAACGGUGAAACUUAAAGGAAUUGACGGGG